GAACUGCUAAUUUAGAAGAAGCAGGUGUAGAAGAUUGCUCAACUGAAUGCCCUUAUAAACAUGCUGUUAGGGGAACUCACCCCUGGUGAUCAUCAGAACAUCAUGACAAUAUGCACAAUUGAUGUACAUGCGAGGGAUGUUGUAGCCACGCUUAUAGCACAGAAGCAACGCGUAGCUGCCAACAUCAAGGAUUGUUUCUCUGCAUUUCCAAACACCCUCCUAUCCCCACAAUGAAAUCCUGUUGUUAACCUUUAUUCCCUAAAGAAAGAUGUCAAGGUAUUGAGAGACAUGGAGAUUCAUUUUAUCACUUUAGUCCUGAGUUAAGAGCUGAAACUACUUGAGAUACAGACUGGGCAAUGUCACCUCAAUAGUGCUUAUGCUGACCAUUACUGUGUGUAAAGCAAAAAUGUCCAACUUCAAAGCUUACAGCAAGUCUUGUUCUUGGUGGCAGUACAAACAACCUAAUAAAAUCAUAUUCUGCAGCUGUUUCUAAAGUACUGCAACCCUAAAAGCAUGAACAAAUAUAAUGUGGAAUUGUGAAACAUGUUUGUUUCUUCAGCUCAAUGCAAUGCUAUCACUCUCCAAAUAUAGUUCUAUAUAUAAGAACAAUAACCUCCUUGCAUAUGAUAACAGCGGCUGAUGAGAAAAGCAGGGAAGUUUGGUCACUUAGAUUUCGCCAAAUGGGAAGAGGGAGAUAUUAAUUAUCUCUUAGUAAAGCUGUGGGAUCAACGUGUUGGAAAGGUGUACAAGAACAAAAAAGGAGGAUGACUCAUGGAGUGGAAGGUGGAAAGACAGAGCAUCUUGAUCAGGAAAGGACAAAAGAAGUAGUCUGAUUCCUCAGUAGCCAGUGGAGGCAGACCUGCAAGCAAAGUACAAGGUGAGCAGUUUACAGCAAUAACAAGAAAUACUGCAGGGUUAGAGGAUCAUGCAGAGAUGGUCACAGAAGAAAGCAGAAGUACUGCAGUGCUAAGGGA
This 974-nucleotide long non-coding RNA is filed under the name Taeniopygia guttata (zebra finch). RNAcentral describes it as "lncRNA (ENSTGUG00000025936.1)". The record is from RNAcentral. Lineage: Eukaryota; Metazoa; Chordata; Aves; Passeriformes; Estrildidae.